GCCCCCGUGGCCGUAUUUCGUCAGAGAUGGAAGGUUCUGCGACACUGGCUAUGCCCAGCGGGGAACAACCUGUUUCUACGUAAUAUCGAGCAGCUACACUCAAUCUCAGGCGAGGUCCGCAUGCACGACAUCGACUCGAACCCUGGCCUACGCCAGAGACCCGACGGAACUUGACGGCCUCGGUGAUUUCACAUCUAAGGCUUUCUGGCUCAAUGCCCAAGUGAGAAGCGACGGCGACUUCAACUGGAAGUACGAGCAGCCGACCCAGGGAGCCCUCAACUACUUCUCCUCCAUUCGUCUCUCGGAGUGGGCCAACGCUACCGUGACGAACAGGGACCCAGACCACUCCUGUCUCAGCGUGCCCGGCCUCUCUAACAAACUAAU
Amphibalanus amphitrite is the source of this 384-nucleotide long non-coding RNA. RefSeq lists it as uncharacterized. The record is from RefSeq and is a predicted model, not a curated record. Lineage: Eukaryota; Metazoa; Arthropoda; Thecostraca; Balanomorpha; Balanidae. The transcript has 3 exons.